UAGCUUGAGCAGUGGCAGUAUCAUAGCCAAUGAGGUUUAUCCGAAGUGCGAUUAUUGCUAAUUGAAAAAUAACCUUUCCUAUUCAAUCAAGAGCUUCUAAGUUCUAUAUAAACUGGUAUGUGAUAGGUCAC
Molecule: small nuclear RNA, 131 nt
Filed under: Suricata suricatta (meerkat)
Lineage: Eukaryota; Metazoa; Chordata; Mammalia; Carnivora; Herpestidae
Description: U4 spliceosomal RNA (ENSSSUG00005007413.1)
Rfam family: U4 spliceosomal RNA
About the family: U4 small nuclear RNA (U4 snRNA) is a component of the major U2-dependent spliceosome. The structure of U4 snRNA from yeast and human has been reported.
Source: Rfam by way of RNAcentral